This 432-nucleotide ribosomal RNA is filed under the name uncultured Friedmanniella sp. RNAcentral's name for it is "bacterial SSU rRNA". It matches the Rfam family "Bacterial small subunit ribosomal RNA", at positions 958 to 1392 of the family's 1533-position model. The record is from RNAcentral. Lineage: Bacteria; Bacillati; Actinomycetota; Actinomycetes; Propionibacteriales; Nocardioidaceae.
AACGCGAAGAACCUUACCUGGGUUUGACAUAUGCCGGAAAGCUGCAGAGAUGUAGCCCCCGCAAGGUCGGUAUACAGGUGGUGCAUGGCUGUCGUCAGCUCGUGUCGUGAGAUGUUGGGUUAAGUCCCGCAACGAGCGCAACCCUCGUCCUAUGUCGCCAGCGGAUAAUGCCGGGGACUCAUACGAGACUGCCGGGGUCAACUCGGAGGAAGGUGGGGAUGACGUCAAGUCAUCAUGCCCCUUAAGUCCAGGGCUUCACGCAUGCUACAAUGGCUGGUACAAAGGGCUGCGAAACCGCAAGGUCGAGCGAAUCCCAAAAAGCCAGUCUCAGUUCGGAUUGGGGUCUGCAACUCGACCCCAUGAAGUCGGAGUCGCUAGUAAUCGCAGAUCAGCAACGCUGCGGUGAAUACGUUCCCGGCCUUGUACACACCG